GAAGUUGUAGCUCAGUGGUAGAUCAUGUGCAUAGCAAGUGCAAGGUCCUGGGUGCCAUCCCCAACACCACCA
RNAcentral lists this transfer RNA (72 nucleotides) under Marmota monax (woodchuck). Its description in RNAcentral is "tRNA.Ala". The record is from RNAcentral. Lineage: Eukaryota; Metazoa; Chordata; Mammalia; Rodentia; Sciuridae.